AUGGGUGAACCAAAGAGCAAUGACACUGCAAUGGUGCAUGAUGAGGAGAUGAUUGUCAGGAACAAGAUGAUCAGUAGCAGUGAAAUGGUUCAUUGCAGUGUGAUGCUCCAUGGUGACAAUAUGGUUCAAGAGAGCGAGAUAGUCCAUGGUGACGAGAUGGUGAUCAAUGGUAAUGAGAUGGUCCACGGUAGUGAGAUGAUCCACAGUAAUGAGAUGAUGAUCCACGGUAAUGAGAUGGUUCAAGUUAAUGACAUGAUCCAUAGUAAUGAGAUGGCUCAAGUUAACAACAUGGUCAAUGGUGAUGAGAUGGCCCAUGGUAAUCCAUUGGUCAGUGCUGAUGUGAGCCCACCAACCUCAUCAAGACGCCGGAAAAAGAAGUCACCAGUCUGGGAGCACUUCACCAUUCAACAUGUGCCUGGGGAUAAGAGAUGCCGAAUUGCAUGCUGCAACCUAUGCAAGGGAACCUUUGCAUAUAGUUCUGGCGCAAAAAUUGCAGGUACUAGUCAUCUCAAAAGGCACAUUAUACAGGGUUCAUGUCCUGUUAUCAAAAACCAAGAGAGGGAACUGGCAUUGCCUUUAGCAGAAGUGGCUGACAAUGAUGGUGAGGGUACCAUAGAACGCCCUUCUAAGAGGCGUUACAGGCGAAAUGGCUCUGCAAACGCUACAUUUGAUCAAGAACGUAGCAGCUUGUAUCUGGCAAAGCUCAUCAUUUUGCAUGACUACCCACUUCAUAUUGUUCAACAGCCAGCCUUCAGCGCUCUUAUUGGUAGUCUGCAACCGUGUUUCAAGUUGUCAGACGUUGAUGCAAUGGAGGGAGAAGUGUAUGCUGUGUAUCUGAAAGAAAAACACAACCUACUGCAAGCAUUAAGCACUAUGCCUGGAAGGAUGAGCCUCACCGUAGGAUUAUGGAUAACUAGUCAGACUCUUGGCUAUGUGUCAAUUGCGGGGCAGUUUAUUGACAUGGAGUGGAGAGUGCAUCGAAGAGUGCUUAAUUUCACGAUGGUUGCUUCUCCUCAUUCGCAGGAUGCACUUGCUGAAGCUAUCAGCAGAAGCCUUUUUGACUGGGGCAUGAGAGAGAAGCUAUUCGCCAUCACAUUGGAUAAUGAUUGCCCAUCUCAUGAUAUCUACAGUGCAAACCUGAGAGAUCAUCUUUCCAAUACGAACGGCGUCAUGCUUAAGGGCCAGCUAUUUGUUGUAAGGUGCUAUGCACAUAUCCUGAAUGCAGCUGCACAGGAUGUGAUUGCUUCAGUCCAUGGUGUCAUCUCUGGUAUCCGUGAAAGCAUAAAGUUCAUAAAAGCCUCUGAUAGUCACGACGAAAAGUUUGCUGAGAUUGCUCUGCAGCUGGAGAUCCCUGGUACCAAGACCCUUUGUCUGGAUGUUACAACCCAGUGGGACACCACCUAUCUGAUGCUCUUGGCUGCCUUGGAUUAUAGGCAGGCUUUCACUAUACUAGAAACAUGUGAUGAUAACUAUAACGAAGCGCCUUCAGCCGAGGACUGGAAAAAGGUUGAGGCUGCCAGCAAUUGUUUGAAGCUGCUCUAUGACUCGGCUCAUAGCGUCAUGGCAGUAGCAAACCCAACUUCAGACAUCUUUUUCCAUGAAGCCUGGAAACUUCAGCUAGAGCUGGCAAAUGCCGCGGCACAUGAAGAUCCAGUUGUCGGCAGCAUUGCUAGAGAUGUGCACGAGAGUUUCGACAAGUACUGGAAAGAUUGCAACCUCGUGUUAGCCGUCGCUGUUGUGAUGGAUCCGCGUUUUAAGAUGAAGCUUGUCGAGUUCAGUUACUCGAAGAUUUAUGGCGUCGAGGCAGCGAAGUAUGUUAAGGCGGUGAAUGAUUCAGUGCAUGAGCUUUAUAAGGAGUAUGUAGCACAGCCACCGGUCUAUGUUGAACAAUCUGCCAGCGGGAAUAAUACUCAAACAACUCCAGCUUCCACCGGUGAUGGUCUUGUGGACUUCGACAUGUAUCUUUCCGAGAUUGCUACAACCCAGCCCUCAAAAUCUGAACUAGAGCAGUACCUGGAAGAAUCCCUGACGCCACGUAGUACCCAAGAGUUUGACAUUCUCAACUGGUGGAAGCUUAACACGCUCAGGUUUCCAACGCUCUCGAAGAUGGCGCGUGAUGUCUUGGCCAUUCCGGUGUCCACAGUGAGCACGGUUAGUUCUAUAUUUUCUGCAGUAACAGGAAGCCGCAUGCUCGAUGACUAUAGAAGCUCGCUUCGUCCUGAAAUUGUGGAGGCACUUGUUUGCGCCAAAGACUGGCUCCUGCAUUCACCACCCGCCUCGCAGACACACAGUUGUGCAAUGCAGUAG
This 2307-nucleotide ribosomal RNA is filed under the name Triticum aestivum (bread wheat). Its description in RNAcentral is "partial small subunit ribosomal RNA". The record is from RNAcentral. Lineage: Eukaryota; Viridiplantae; Streptophyta; Magnoliopsida; Poales; Poaceae.